AUUGAACGCUGGCGGCAUGCCUUACACAUGCAAGUCGAACGGUAACGGGCCUUCGGGUGCCGACGAGUGGCGAACGGGUGAGUAAUACAUCGGAACGUGCCCGAUCGUGGGGGAUAACGAGGCGAAAGCUUUGCUAAUACCGCAUACGAUCUACGGAUGAAAGCAGGGGACCGCAAGGCCUUGCGCGGACGGAGCGGCCGAUGGCAGAUUAGGUAGUUGGUGGGAUAAAAGCUUACCAAGCCGACGAUCUGUAGCUGGUCUGAGAGGAUGAUCAGCCACACUGGGACUGAGACACGGCCCAGACUCCUACGGGAGGCAGCAGUGGGGAAUUUUGGACAAUGGGCGCAGGCCUGAUCCAGCCAUGCCGCGUGCAGGAUGAAGGCCUUCGGGUUGUAAACUGCUUUUGUACGGAACGAAAAGCCUUCUUUUAAUACAGGAGGGUCAUGACGGUACCGUAAGAAUAAGCACCGGCUAACUACGUA
This 482-nucleotide ribosomal RNA is filed under the name uncultured bacterium. Its description in RNAcentral is "partial 16S ribosomal RNA". It matches the Rfam family "Bacterial small subunit ribosomal RNA", at positions 30 to 507 of the family's 1533-position model. The record is from RNAcentral.